GAUAACCAUCAUCACGAGGAAGAGUUUUCUCCGCAGCACCGGCAUUAUUCUAUCUAGUCAGAAGAACGGGCUUUCACCGAAGCAGGUCUAACCAAAAAUACACCCUACUCCAUCACUGUCAUCCAGAGAGCUGCUGUUCAACAGUGAGUAGAAAUCUGGUAUGUAACAAGGAUCCACAAAACAUAUGCAGUUAAUAGACCAUCACUUCCAUCUACAGCAAGAGAAAGUGCCGGAACUGUUUCUGUAGCUCAACUUAGGGGUGGGCGAUAUGACCAAAAAUCUGUUUCAAGGAAUGAUUCAUUUUAUUUAACAGUAGUAACAGUAUAUUUCAUGGUAUAUAUGUUUUUCAGCUUUAUGUUUAUAUGAAGAGUUUGGUUCCAAAACAGCUAAAUCAGUAUUGUAUCAGGUCAGUAUUAAAAAGUAAAUUCCUAAUUUUUUAGCAAAAUCCAAUAUCCGCCGUGUUAUUCUGUUAUCUUUUCUCCCUUUUUUCCCAAAACGCGAUAAACGCCAAUCCUCCUUCUCUGCAGAAUGCAAUAAAUCUGCUCAACAAAUCACAGCGCACCAUUCCAAGCAUUGUAAACAACAAUGGCGGAGCGUUAAUACACAUGGAAUCCUAGUUUUCCUCAUCUAUUUUGUACUUCGUGAUCAACAAACAAUUAAAAACAAAAUAAUAUUUUGAUGGAAUUGAUAAACCUUUCGUGUUUUUUUGUGACGGGAAAAAAACGUAAGCCAUUAAAAUCUAAUAAUUUACGCAAGAGGCACUCGAGAGAUGGAGAAAUGCCGGCUGUUGCUUGUUCUCCUGACAGCAUCAAGCUUCUAUCAUGCUUACACAUUGACCCCAAGGGAUCUUAUAAAAAACUUUCCAUUAUUUUACACAAAGCCAACGAAAAUCGAGCAGAAUCAAAACAUUUUACAGCUGAUCGCUGUCAAAAAAGUUCAGCGAUGACGUCCUUUUAUGUUUUUAUAACCUAAAGAUGCUAUGUGAAAGUUUGUAACAGAAAAUUGUGUUUUUCAUCUUGUCACUUUCUUGGUAUAGAAAACACAUUUUUACCGAAAUUAGACAAAAUGGAUUUAUUGCGUUUUGGAACCAAAGUUUUCAUAUUGUUUUUUUUUUUUUUUUAAGUUUAUUUGUACAGGGACAGAUACAAUAACAUAGACAAACUUGAGAUACAGUCCUCAAAUGCAUGUACCAUAGUGCUUGUAGCUGAAGCUAAUUUGCAGCACUUGUCCCUUAUGGACUGUUAUUGGAGUAUACACAUUUGCCACUUUAAACUAAAUGCUCAGCACAGUAAAGAAAAAUAUAAUAAGUUAGUGUGUUAAAGUGAAAAUGCACUAAAGAUAAAAAAAAAUAAGUCUUGAUAGAAAGAAUCUUGUUAUUUAUUCUGUAGGCUAUUGAAGAUAUAGUAUGCAUUGUAUUUUUUAUUUAUGCAUAAAUUACAAUAAAAAUAGGCAUGUAAAACUAACAAGUAUGAAUAUGCACAAACCAGACAGGGAAAAUACCUGAAGAGAUCUUUAGAUAUGGAGAUUAUAAAUAUGAUAGAUGCUGAUGAGAUGAUGAUCAUGGAGUCUGUUUUUACUUUCUUAAACUUGCAUUUUAACCGUUGCGUCUCUUUUUCGUCUUUCUAUUGAUAUACAAUAGAAGAGCUCUCUAAACUAGUAACGUCAUCCAAAUCAUCGUCCUGUAUACUAGACCCCGUUCCCACAAAAUUACUAAAAGAGGUAUUUCAUGUAGUGUCAGACACGGUACUUAAUAUCUUUAACUCAUCUCUAGAAUUAGGAUACGUUCCAACAGCUUUCAAACUAGCAGUUAUUAGACCGCUCAUUAAAAAGCAAAACCUUGACCAGGGAGAUCUUAAUAACUUUAGACCAAUCUCAAAUCUACCUUUUCUUUCUAAAAUAUUAGAAAAAGUAGUGGCAAGCCAGCUACGCACAUUCGUAGAAAAUAAUAAUACAUAUGAAAAGUUCCAAUCAGGAUUCAGGCCCCACCAUAGCACAGAGACAGCGCUGCUUAGAGUUACAAAUGACCUCCUAUUAACAUCCGAUCGUGGUGAAAUCUCAAUCCUUAUAUUACUAGACCUUAGUGCAGCCUUUGACACAAUAGAUCACACAAUCUUAAUCAAUAGACUAGAAAACUAUGUUGGCAUCAGUGGUCAGGCGUUAGCCUGGUUCAGAUCGUAUCUAACCAAUCGAUAUCACUUUGUUUAUGUAAAUGAGGAAGAGUCAUAUCACUCCCCCGUUAAAUACGGCAUACCUCAGGGAUCAGUUCUAGGCCCUAUCCUAUUCUCGUUAUAUAUGUUACCUCUAGGAGACAUUAUCAGGAAACAUAACAUAAGUUUUCACUGCUAUGCGGAUGAUACCCAGCUUUACAUCUCGUCGCAUCCUAGCGAAACCCACCAGUUUUCUAAGCUAACAGACUGCAUUAGUGAUAUUAGGGACUGGAUGGCACAAAACUUUCUUAUGCUAAACUCCAAUAAGACAGAGAUACUUAUUAUUGAACCGAAUCGCUACAAACAUAAUAUGUCAGAUUACAAGUUGCCCAUAGAUGGCUGCACGGUGGUGCCAUCUUCCACGGUUAAGAAUUUAGGCGUAAUGUUCGACAGCAAUCUAUCUUUUGAUAGUCAUAUCGCCAACAUCUGCCGCACAGCAUUCUUCCAUCUUAGAAAUAUCUCAAAAAUACGCCAUAUGCUGUCUGCAUCAGACGCAGAAAAGCUUAUACAUGCUUUUAUGACCUCUAGAAUAGACUAUUGUAACUCGUUACUCGGGGGAUGCCAUGCAAAUCAGGUAAACAAGCUACAGCAAGAGUGCUUACUCGAUCUAAAAAGUAUGACCACAUCAGUCCAAUUCUGGCAUCUUUACACUGGCUACCAGUUAAAUAUCGUAUACAAUUUAAAAUAUUACUAAUCACCUACAAAGCCUUAAAUGGCCUAGCGCCUUCGUAUAUUAAAGAACUACUAUCAGAAUACAAUCCAUCACGUAAACUGCGCUCACAAAAUUCUGGUCACUUAAUUAUCCCUAGAAUAUCAAAAGUGUCUAAAGGUGGUAGAUCCUUUUCCUACUUAGCCCCUAAGCUCUGGAAUGAUUUACCAAAUAAUGUUCGAGUAUCAGACACAGUCGAUCAAUUUAAAUCAAAACUUAAGACAUUCUUCUUUAACAAAGCAUUCACAUAAAAUGUCCAGUAAAUGUACAUUUCCCGCAGUAGUUAGUUUGUCUAGAACAAAGCACUCACAUACCUCAUAUGGGUAAUAUACUAUUGCCGCAAUAGUUAGCCUGUCUGGAACCGAGCCGACUUGAACCACUAUAAUGUUUGACACUUGCAUUGCAUGCGAACGGCCCCUACGCUAAUAGAAUUCUGUUUUUCUCUCCCUGUCUCGUCCUCAACCACGAGGACCAUGAGACAAACAGACCCAGUUCCGGUUGCUGUGAAGAUCAUUGCAUCACUGAUCCACUGGCUGUCCUUCAACGUGAUGACCAGCCGAUGCCCGACCAACGACCACCGGCUAAACCAGUUUAAUUCGCUUACCCGCCUCCUAUCCCUACCGUUUCUAUAUAUAUAUAAAUAUAUAUUAAUUCUUCCCAAGGGUUUUUGUCCUUCUAGGACUUUUUCCCAUUGGGUUUUUUUUCCUAGAGGGUUUUUAAUCCCAGGGAGAGUCAGCCAACUUUGGCUUAACUUAGCACUUUACAGUAUACGUUACAUUAUUAAUAUGCUCGCUUGUACGGUUUAACCACUUUCUCUACUUCUUAUAUUAUCUAUUGAUUUUCUGUGUUCUCCUCUACAUCUUCUCAUGUAAAGCUGCUUUGCAACAAUUAACACUUGUGAAAAGCGCUAUAUAAAUAAAAUUGAAUUGAAUUGAAUUGAAUGUAAUUUUAAUCCAUCACUACAAACUAUAUAUCGUUGGAAAGGUCUAAGCCUCCAGAAUAGACAUUUCAACAGUGUUUUAUAAAAUAAAUUUUGUAGGGAGAGUAAUUGAUUCAUUUAUGAAGAGAGUGUGCCUCAAAACAUUUAUUUUCUGCUAAAUGUCACUGUCCCACCAGCAGGACGCCUACAUUUACUUCAAUGUUUGCAUAUGAAUUCUUAUCUAAUCAUGACAAACUGUAUAUUGUUUGAAAGCUCCAAGAGUGUAGAUUUAACUCAAUAGGGUGGGGUGACGCUUAAAAGGUUAAAGA
Molecule: non-coding RNA, 4164 nt
Organism: Misgurnus anguillicaudatus (oriental weatherfish)
Lineage: Eukaryota; Metazoa; Chordata; Actinopteri; Cypriniformes; Cobitidae
Source: RefSeq, a predicted model, not a curated record